AGAGUUUGAUCCUGGCUCAGAACGAACGCUGGCGGCAGGCCUAACACAUGCAAGUCGAGCGCGCCCUUCGGGGUGAGCGGCGGACGGGUUAGUAACGCGUGGGAACGUACCCAGAUCUACGGAAUAGCCUCGGGAAACUGAGAGUAAUACCGUAUACGCCCUAAGGGGGAAAGAUUUAUCGGAUUUGGAUCGGCCCGCGUAAGAUUAGGUAGUUGGUGGGGUAAUGGCCUACCAAGCCUACGAUCUUUAGCUGGUUUUAGAGGAUGAUCAGCAACACUGGGACUGAGACACGGCCCAGACUCCUACGGGAGGCAGCAGUGGGGAAUCUUAGACAAUGGGCGCAAGCCUGAUCUAGCCAUGCCGCGUGAGUGAUGAAGGCCUUAGGGUCGUAAAGCUCUUUCGCCUGUGAUGAUAAUGACAGUAGCAGGUAAAGAAACCCCGGCUAACUCCGUGCCAGCAGCCGCGGUAAUACGGAGGGGGUUAGCGUUGUUCGGAAUUACUGGGCGUAAAGCGCACGUAGGCGGAUUAGAAAGUUGGGGGUGAAAUCCCGGGGCUCAACCUCGGAACGGCCUCCAAAACUCCUAGUCUAGAGUUCGAGAGAGGUGAGUGGAAUUCCGAGUGUAGAGGUGAAAUUCGUAGAUAUUCGGAGGAACACCAGUGGCGAAGGCGGCUCACUGGCUCGAUACUGACGCUGAGGUGCGAAAGUGUGGGGAGCAAACAGGAUUAGAUACCCUGGUAGUCCACACCGUAAACGAUGAAUGCCAGUCGUCGGCAAGUAUACUUGUCGGUGACACACCUAACGGAUUAA
Molecule: ribosomal RNA, 808 nt
Filed under: uncultured Paracoccaceae bacterium
Lineage: Bacteria; Pseudomonadati; Pseudomonadota; Alphaproteobacteria; Rhodobacterales; Paracoccaceae
Description: bacterial SSU rRNA
Rfam family: Bacterial small subunit ribosomal RNA
Source: RNAcentral